RNAcentral lists this ribosomal RNA (432 nucleotides) under uncultured bacterium. RNAcentral's name for it is "partial 16S ribosomal RNA". It matches the Rfam family "Bacterial small subunit ribosomal RNA", at positions 29 to 507 of the family's 1533-position model. The record is from RNAcentral.
AACGAACGCUGGCGGCAUGCUAACACCUGCAAGUCGAACGAGACCUUCGUGUCUAGUGGCGAACGGGCGCGUAACGCGUGGGAACCUGGUCUUCGGUUUGGCAUUAUCCGCCGAAAGGCGUGUUAAUACCGGGUUUUGUCUUCGGUCCAAAGAUUUAUCGCCUUUAGUUGGGUUCGCGAUGUAUUUGCUAGUUGGUAAGGUAAAAGCAUAUCAGGUCGUCGAUCGAUAGCUGGUCUGGGAGGAUGAUCAGCCACACUGGGACUGAGAGACGGCCCAGACACCAACAGGAGGCAGCAGGUGAGAAUAUGAGACAAUGAGCGAGAGCCUAAGCCAACAAUGCCACGUGAUGGAUGAAUGCCUUAGGGUGGUAUAACUCUUUUACCCGGGAUGAAAAUGACAGUACCAGAAGAAUAAGCACCGGCUAACUCCGUG